GUGGGGAAUUUUGGACAAUGGGCGCAAGCCUGAUCCAGCAAUGCCGCGUGUGUGAAGAAGGCCUUCGGGUUGUAAAGCACUUUUGGCAGGAAAGAAAUAGUGCGUGCUAAUACCAUGCGCGAAUGACGGUACCUGCAGAAUAAGCACCGGCUAACUACGUGCCAGCAGCCGCGGUAAGACGUAGGGUGCAAGCGUUAAUCGGAAUUACUGGGCGUAAAGCGUGCGCAGGCGGUUUUGUAAGACAGGUGUGAAAUCCCCGGGCUCAACAGGGGAACUGCACUUGUGACUGCAAGGCUAGAGUGUGUCAGAGGGAGGUGGAAUUCCGCGUGUAGCAGUGAAAUGCGUAGAGAUGCGGAGGAACACCGAUGGCGAAGGCAGCCAUCUGGACCAGCACUGACACUGAGGCACGAAAGCGUGGGGAGCAAACAGGAUUAGAAACCCGUGUAGUCC
Molecule: ribosomal RNA, 450 nt
Filed under: uncultured bacterium
Lineage: Bacteria
Description: partial 16S ribosomal RNA
Rfam family: Bacterial small subunit ribosomal RNA
Source: RNAcentral